CCUACGGGUGGCAGCAGUAGGGAAUCUUCCACAAUGGGCGAAAGCCUGAUGGAGCAACGCCGCGUGGGUGAAGAAGGUCUUCGGAUCGUACAACCCUGUUGUUAGAGAAGAAAGUGCGUGAGAGUAACUGUUCACGUUUCGACGGUAUCUAACCAGAAAGCAACGGCUAACUACGUGCCAGCAGCCGCGGUAAUACGUAGGUGGCAAGCGUUAUCCGGAUUUAUUGGGCGUAAAGGGAACGCAGGCGGUCUUUUAAGUCUGAUGUUAAAGCCUUCGGCUUAACCGGAGUAGUGCAUUGGAAACUGGGAGAAUUGAGUGCAGAAGAGGAGAGUGGAACUCCAUGUGUAGCGGUGAAAUGCGUAGAUAUAUGGAAGAACACCAGUGGCGAAAGCGGCUCUCUGGUCUGUAACUGACGCUGAGGUUCGAAAGCGUGGGUAGCAAACAGGAUUAGAUACCCCGGUAGUC
This 465-nucleotide ribosomal RNA is filed under the name uncultured bacterium. RNAcentral's name for it is "partial 16S ribosomal RNA". It matches the Rfam family "Bacterial small subunit ribosomal RNA", at positions 338 to 795 of the family's 1533-position model. The record is from RNAcentral.